UGUAUGCGUAUGUUUGUGACUGUUGCGCCCUGUGUUGCGAAAAGUGUGCUUGGUCGCAGAUUCGCGUGCAAAUGGCGCAUGAGCUAACAACACGUUUUAGGAGGCUGUCGAACGGUUGAAGAUGGGACAACAGCAGACCAGGCUAUUCAGGGAUACACCGAAGUGUUGAUUUGGAGGGCUUUGGAGUGGAGUAGGUUGGUUGGACUGCGCGCGUUUUGUUACGAAACGGGGCAGUGGUGUUACGAAAGUGCGUGUGGGCGCCUUCCCUGCGUAGGGAGCUUUUGCGGAGGGAUAUCAACCAUUGCAGGAUGCAUGUGCAUUGGGCUGCUAGGCCCCAGUACCGAGGCGCUCGUUACUGGUUGGCGAUAUCGUCAAACGCAGAGAUCACCUCAUAUAUUCGCUGCUGUGGAUUUCCUGUUUGUUUUUGUUGUAGUGUCAGCUGCAGAUUGGCGCGUGGAACGCCUGGGUGUGUCCCUUGCCAUGGGGGGCUCUCGGGUCGAAAAAGUGUACUUCGUGUGAAAGGGCCUACAGGAACUGGGUGGCUGCUGGAAUGCAGGUCUAGUAGAGGCAUGGAGGGUGGGUAAUGUCAGGGGAUCAUCCAAAUCGAAGGUUGGAGUUCAAAAUCGAAGGUUGGAGUUUCAUACACCGCAAACUCAGGAUGUAGGAACGGAGUAUAUGCGUUCGGGAUUUCGUGUGUAUGUAUGUGUGUGCAUUACGAUGAGUCCAUGAGUGCCUCCAUAUUCAUACCUUCAUGUACCAUGUGAACAUGGGACGUGUACGGCAUGCAUGGGAUGUAUUGCGGACCCAUGCACGCCGCCCUUGGUUGUACCGACAGAUGUGAUUGCGGCUGAAGUUUUACACCGUACUUUUUGCUGCUGCAGGUUCUAAGUUGUUAUGGGUUGCAGGAAAUUUCCGUAACCGGUCCGCGUUGCCGUUGUCGCCGACAUGUCAGGCAGCCGUGCAAGGAUUUGUAGCAUGCAUAUAUUUAGUGUGGAACCUUGCAUUAUCGUAGAUGAUGCUUGGUAUGUGAAUGUGCGAAUCUCACUGGUCUGGAUGGCUGGAACGACACCCGUAUUCAAGGUUGUAAACCAGAAAUUGGAUCAGCUGAAAACCCAACCCCACCUCGUCCACACAUCUGAUGCACGUGUGGAGAUGUGAGAAUUCC
Molecule: long non-coding RNA, 1165 nt
Filed under: Volvox carteri
Lineage: Eukaryota; Viridiplantae; Chlorophyta; Chlorophyceae; Chlamydomonadales; Volvocaceae
Description: long non-coding RNA (VCAR_LNC002705)
Source: RNAcentral